Molecule: ribosomal RNA, 497 nt
Filed under: uncultured bacterium
Lineage: Bacteria
Description: partial 16S ribosomal RNA
Rfam family: Bacterial small subunit ribosomal RNA
Source: RNAcentral
GACGAACGCUGGCGGCGUGCUUAACACAUGCAAGUCGAGCGGUGAAGCUUGGUGCUUGCACCAAUUUGCAGAGACGCGAACGGGUGAGUAACGAGUGGCGCAUCUGCCUUUGAGCGGGGGCCAACAUUUGGAACCGAAUGCUAAUACCGCAUAAUCACUUUAACCAUAAGUUUUAAGUUUGAAAGAUGAAAUUGCAUCACUCAAAGAUGAUCCAGCGUUGUGUGAGCUAGGUGGUGAGGUAGAGGCUCACCAAGGCGAUGAUACAUAGCUGACCUGAGAGGGGGAACGGCCACAUGGGGACUGGGACACGGCCCAAGCUCCUGCGGGAGGCAGCAGGAGGGAGUCUUCGGCAAUGGACGAAAGGCUGACCGAGCAACGCCGCGUGAGUGAAGAAGGUUUUCGGAUCGUAAAACGCUGUUUGUAGAGAAGAACGUGGGUGAGAGUGGAAAGCUCGGCAAGUGACGGUAACGACACAGAAAGGAACGGCUAACUACGUG